GACGAGGUGGCCGAGUGGUUAAGGCGUUGGACUGCUAACCCAAUGGGCUCUGCCCGCGUGGGUUCGAAUCCCAUCCUCGUCG
RNAcentral lists this transfer RNA (82 nucleotides) under Trialeurodes vaporariorum (greenhouse whitefly). RNAcentral describes it as "tRNA-Ser for anticodon GCU". It matches the Rfam family "tRNA". From Rfam's summary of the family: Transfer RNA (tRNA) molecules are approximately 80 nucleotides in length. Their secondary structure includes four short double-helical elements and three loops (D, anti-codon, and T loops). Lineage: Eukaryota; Metazoa; Arthropoda; Insecta; Hemiptera; Aleyrodidae. The record is from RNAcentral.